RNAcentral lists this ribosomal RNA (973 nucleotides) under Arthrobacter nitrophenolicus. RNAcentral describes it as "bacterial SSU rRNA". It matches the Rfam family "Bacterial small subunit ribosomal RNA", at positions 57 to 1042 of the family's 1533-position model. Lineage: Bacteria; Bacillati; Actinomycetota; Actinomycetes; Micrococcales; Micrococcaceae. The record is from RNAcentral.
GCAAGUCGAACGAUGAAGGGAGCUUGCUCCUGGAUUAGUGGCGAACGGGUGAGUAACACGUGAGUAACCUGCCCUUGACUCUGGGAUAAGCCUGGGAAACUGGGUCUAAUACCGGAUAUGACCUUCCAUCGCAUGGUGGUUGGUGGAAAGCUUUUUGUGGUUCUGGAUGGACUCGCGGCCUAUCAGCUUGUUGGUGAGGUAAUGGCUUACCAAGGCGACGACGGGUAGCCGGCCUGAGAGGGUGACCGGCCACACUGGGACUGAGACACGGCCCAGACUCCUACGGGAGGCAGCAGUGGGGAAUAUUGCACAAUGGGCGCAAGCCUGAUGCAGCGACGCCGCGUGAGGGAUGACGGCCUUCGGGUUGUAAACCUCUUUCAGUAGGGAAGAAGCGAAAGUGACGGUACCUGCAGAAGAAGCGCCGGCUAACUACGUGCCAGCAGCCGCGGUAAUACGUAGGGCGCAAGCGUUAUCCGGAAUUAUUGGGCGUAAAGAGCUCGUAGGCGGUUUGUCGCGUCUGCCGUGAAAGUCCGGGGCUCAACUCCGGAUCUGCGGUGGGUACGGGCAGACUAGAGUGAUGUAGGGGAGACUGGAAUUCCUGGUGUAGCGGUGAAAUGCGCAGAUAUCAGGAGGAACACCGAUGGCGAAGGCAGGUCUCUGGGCAUUAACUGACGCUGAGGAGCGAAAGCAUGGGGAGCGAACAGGAUUAGAUACCCUGGUAGUCCAUGCCGUAAACGUUGGGCACUAGGUGUGGGGGACAUUCCACGUUUUCCGCGCCGUAGCUAACGCAUUAAGUGCCCCGCCUGGGGAGUACGGCCGCAAGGCUAAAACUCAAAGGAAUUGACGGGGGCCCGCACAAGCGGCGGAGCAUGCGGAUUAAUUCGAUGCAACGCGAAGAACCUUACCAAGGCUUGACAUGAACCGGACCGCUGCAGAAAUGUGGUUUCCCCUUUGGGGCUGGUUUACAGGUGGU